UUCCUAACUUCCCAAUCUUCUAGAAUAGCUAAGCACAUCCUAUUCUUAUAUUUCUUCCUAUAAUACGUAACAGCUUGUCUGCAGUUGUUUUUUUCAAUUCUUUUGUUCCCUCUGGAAGCAUAAUUAUAUUGUAUUGUUGUAAGUGGUUGGUGGUGAAUUAUUCAUGGUUUGAUUGAUAGGUUGUUUGGAGUGCAGAUGUAACUAGUAGUUUGAAUCAUCUUAAUUGUGUUGCUUUUGAUGUUUAAAUUUGUAAAAAGAUUCUAAGUGGAAUUCAUAUAUAUGACUUUAUUAUGUUAGUUUUAUCUCAUGGAACAAAUUCUGCAAUAGGUUGGGUUUGGAGCAGCCAGUAUUAUUUUGAUUUUUGCCAGUAUUAUUUUGAUUUUUAUCAUCUGCAACACCUUAUUCAGAUAUGCUACUUUAUCUCUG
RNAcentral lists this unclassified non-coding RNA (426 nucleotides) under Hevea brasiliensis (rubber tree). The record is from RNAcentral. Lineage: Eukaryota; Viridiplantae; Streptophyta; Magnoliopsida; Malpighiales; Euphorbiaceae.